UACGGGGGGGGCAAGCGUUGUUCGGAAUUACUGGGCGUAAAGGGCUCGUAGGCGGCCAACUAAGUCAGACGUGAAAUCCCUCGGCUUAACCGGGGAACUGCGUCUGAUACUGGAUGGCUAGAGGUUGGGAGAGGGAUGCGGAAUUCCAGGUGUAGCGGUGAAAUGCGUAGAUAUCUGGAGGAACACCGGUGGCGAAGGCGGCAUCCUGGACCGGCAUUGACGCUGAGGCGCGAAAGCCAGGGGAGCAAACGGG
RNAcentral lists this ribosomal RNA (253 nucleotides) under uncultured bacterium. Its description in RNAcentral is "partial 16S ribosomal RNA". It matches the Rfam family "Bacterial small subunit ribosomal RNA", at positions 524 to 776 of the family's 1533-position model. The record is from RNAcentral.